GUGCUCCCUUUGGUAGCACGGAUACUAAAAUUGGGACGAUAGGGAGAUUAGCAUGGUCUCUGCAACGGUGACAUGCAACUUAGAAUAUUGUGACAGUGAACA
RNAcentral lists this small nuclear RNA (102 nucleotides) under Vulpes vulpes (red fox). The record is from RNAcentral. Lineage: Eukaryota; Metazoa; Chordata; Mammalia; Carnivora; Canidae.